UUGUUUCCUGGCCCCGGCUCCCAGGACCUUGUGGGCUGGGCAGGUCGUGAACCGAGUUUCCACGCUGCCUUUACACCAUGUCCCCAUCGAGGGGCGUCACGACCGUCCUCCACCCCGGGCGUCACCAGCUUCCCGAGUCCCACUGCUAUAAAGGACGCGUCGGUCAGCAUCUCGGAGUGAGACGCUUUCCUUCUGGAUUUAGAAUCGUCUGUCAGAGACUCCAAAGCACAUUUGCUAGAUCGACAGGCAUGUGGAGCCAGUGGCUUCUGACGCUUGGGAGUCUGCGUCCCACCUGCGUUCAGGCCCCAGGUUCACCACACACACAGCGGGCAGCCGCUUAAGAAACCUUUGAUUUCAGUCCAGGGACGGUGGCUCACGCCUGUAAUCCCAGCACUUUGGGAGGCCGAGGUGGGCGGAUCACGAGGUCAGGAGUUUGAGACCAGCCUGGUCAACAUGGAGAAACCCCGUCUCUACUAAAAAUACAAAAAUUAGCCGGGCAUGGCAGCAGGCGCCUGUAAUCCCAGCUCCUCAGGAGGCUGAGGCAGGGGGAAUUGUUU
RNAcentral lists this small RNA (557 nucleotides) under Pongo abelii (Sumatran orangutan). RNAcentral's name for it is "processed transcript". Lineage: Eukaryota; Metazoa; Chordata; Mammalia; Primates; Hominidae. The record is from RNAcentral.